This is a long non-coding RNA of Ceratina calcarata, 4921 nucleotides long. RefSeq lists it as uncharacterized. The record is from RefSeq and is a predicted model, not a curated record. The transcript has 2 exons. NCBI's taxonomy places the organism in Eukaryota, Metazoa, Arthropoda, Insecta, Hymenoptera, Apidae.
AUCUGACAAUUAACGUCGCGCCGGUCCAACGAAAUAGACAACAUUUUCUUCUGUAAUUCUUCUAUUUUUCUACCCGUCGGCGAUCAGAUCGUCUGGCACGAGAUGAAGUCAUCGUUAUUGUUAUCAACGCGCGUGUUUAUCGGUUGCCAUAAACGAAAGGGAACGGAAAGAUCGGCGAAGGAAAAGGACAAUCAAGAUGCAAUAACGUCGCAAUAAGGAGUCGCGAGUGCGCAAUGGUUUCCGGAAGCCUCGCGACGAAGGGAAUCCUGCACGGACCGGAAACGAUCGUUAAUCGACGAUCACCGCGGCGCAAAAACGUGCGAAAGACUCGCGCGGCUCGUCCGUGACUCACCUCCGCUCCAGGAACGGACUUAAAAGGAUGUUCCCUGCCAUGACCAUUAGCACCGCUAUCGAUCACGUCGGCCGAGAUCCUCGCUGAUAUCGAGCGUAACAUGCGAAACGUACAAAAUCUUCACUCGAUACGUCGUGAAUUUUCUCCUACGCGGCGUCGUCGCGUGAAGACGUACCCGGCCAGUGAAGAAUUGAAAUUGUCGAGAGCUCCACGGCUGUUUCACAAUUCGGAUCGUGUGAAUGCGCCCCUGAAAGUAAUCGCGAACGAGCAUCACGCACGAGAACGAAAACAGGCUCGUAGCUGAUUGCUCGGAUGUGGGUUACAGACACGCGGUACGAUUACGACGGGCAUUGAGUAAUCAAUACUCGAGCGUCUCGAAUCGAGAAAAGGUUCCUCGAGGCCUCGUUAACGUCUUUCUAAUUCAUCGUUGAUCGGCGACGACCCCGAGGAAAACGAUUACGAUAAUCGAUUUCCUCGAGGCGUCGCCCUUGAUGUUUUUCCACGGUGAACGCGUUCCCAUAAAGAGUCGUUCCGCUUUAACGAGCGCCGAUGCAAAUUGAUUCCGUCGUCGGGGCGAUCGUACCGGAGGCCCAUCUGGCGGUGUUGGGUGUCCGCGAUCGCGGAAUUCGCGCCGAGGGUUGCCAAAAAUGCGGCGCAUCAAUUCAUGAACUCGUGCGUGCAACGCCCGUUUCGAAACCGACACUUAUUCACUGCUAGAAAUACCUGGCCCGUAGCUGCGGAUAACAAGUUGCAGACGUUUCGUCGAUUCAAUGUCGCAGAUUUCGUUUCAUCUACCACGAGACGUCGAAUUAUUUAGCAACAAACGUCCGUCUCGUCCCGCGCAUCGUCGACAUUUGGGACACGUUGUAUUAUUUCGGCUUUAGUUAAUCAAGAAUUGGCUCCGCGAACGGAUUUUGACGGUUCUGGACGAAACAAGCUGAACGCGAAAAAGAUUUGGUAACGAGCUGCCAAAAGUCGUCUAGAUCGGUUGACUGACUCAUCGCGUUUAUACACGGGAGUCUUCAUCCCGCUCAGUCAUCCCGGGUAUUCGGGGAUGCUGGGUGGCUCAGGUGGUUGCGUGGCGGCCCGAAAUAGAGCCGGUCGCCCGCGCAAAAUCGCGUCGAGUCGCGACGCGAAUAGUCCGCGCCCACCACCUUACCGAGUGUCGGCGGUAAUUUUAGAAUCGUUUUGUUUUCGUGCCAGAAUGCUGCGCCGCUGCCGGCACACGCGACUGCGUGCCGAUUAUUAUUCACGUUUCGCUUUUGGGGAUUGAUGCACGUACUCGUCCACCCACAAUUUUCGCAAUUCGUUAUUAGAAUUUUACACGUGAAAUUAGGAGAUCUCUCAAAUCUUUAUCGUUUCUUGGCAAGUUUACCAUAGUUUAAUAGUUUGUAAAAUUGUUUUGAAAUUUAUUUACUGAGAAACACAAUUGACACGAUAUUUAACUACCCGAGACGGUUUUCUCGGACGUAGAUGAACGGUGUUUGGACUUUAAUAAGAGAUAUGUUUGCUAGACGUGAAACGAGAUCGUGGCUCUUCACGUUUUAACCGGACAGAUCGAAAAUUUAGAUAGAAGGAUUGGCAAUUGCAAAUGCGAGACUGUCCACAGGUGUCUAUUCAACCGAUUAAUUUGGAACGCGGAAUUUUCAAGAAAUCCGUACACGGAUAAUGUCACCGAACGCGUUCAACGUGGGUAAAGCGGGUUGACAAAUUGGAGAAUUCCAAUGAACAACCCCUCUCGAAUCUCUUCAUCUCGUGUAAAUCAGCGGACUGGCUACUUGCCGCGUGUACCAGCAUUGCCAGUCGCGUAUUUAUAAAAAGCAGAAAAGACGAACCGUGUACCGCGUGGAGAAAGAAAAGAAAUUCGAUGAGAGAAGAUCGAAAAAUAAGAGAGGACGAAGUUGGAACACCGGAGUGAUAGCCAAAUCGAGGAACAAGCUCGUUUUACACCGAUCUCUCGCCUCCUACGGCGUGGUAUGUGUCUUUUAGUACCUCGCAAUUGACAGUGCUUAAAUUCAACAGCCUUUUUUAGUCACGCGGACCGGCAGGAAUCCAAUCCCUUUUCUCGCGGAAGUACUUAUCCUGUUUGCGACGUUACCCUCUCCCGAUCGUCAAUUGUUUUCGUUCAAGGAGGAAAGCCUCUCUGCUGUCUCGUGUCAUUGGAGUUUGGCUUUAGAAAAGGGGGGAAAUCGCAAUGGAAACGAACCGGGGAACGGAGGGAGACAGGAACAAACGGAGGCGGGCAAGUGUGAAGGGAAAAGAGACGGAGAACGGUCGCGUGGCUGUGCGUGGCCCCAAAUAGGGCAUCAGGUGGUUGCUCGACGCCCGCGAGGAAAUGAUCGUUUGCGCGUGCGCAGACGCGCGUGUGCCUCGCGCACGCAUAUACACGCGCGCGCGUACAGUCGAACACGGCACGCGCGCUCUUCCACAGGUGGUGCCGUGGCGCGCACAGGAAAUCGCUCCUUCGCGGUGGUAAACUCCGCCGCCAUGAAACUUCGCUGCCUCGCCCGGUCCGUUCACCUGUAUUAUAUUUCCUUUCGAACAGAUUCGACAUGUGCGCGCGACCAUCCAAGAAAUGAUCUCCCCUCUCACCUGUUGCGUUUCCCUUCACGCUCCGGUUCUAAUCGUUAAACGCCCUCCCGAGGAGAUAUCGUGGGAGGAUAGUAAAUAAGUCCACUUUGUUUCACGAGCUUUCGUUUAUUAGGUUCUCGAAGCUGUUACAAAGACAAGAAUUUAGACACUGGCUGUUUAAACUCGUCCCAUGCGUAUAAAUAAAUAUAUGUAAUACUGUAAAUGUGUUAACAUGCUAAGACUAUGUAUUGACUUUGCCAUUAUAAAUGUCAUAAGAAGUACAUAAAAACAUACAUGAAAACGUGCAUUCAACUUAUUUCAAAUACCAGAGAACAUUUAUUGCAAUUAACUAAAGUGAAGACCCAGUAGUUUUACUCAGCCAUACAUCAGACGUCGGUCAAAUAUAAAAAUUCAGUAGUAUAAUCAGUCAUGUGUCAGCCCGUCGUAUUUAUCGUUAAUUGUACAUAAAAAUGUAACAAAUUCUAAUAUGCCGGGUCUUUAUAACGCUACGUCGGUUUUAAGAAUAAUCUCGGGGGGUGGAAGGAGCACGUAGCUUUUGCGAGACGGACGCUCGGAUCGAUAAACGUUUCGCGGCACGGUGGUAUAAGCUCUCGAAUGUUACAACGGCGACGGUCUGUCAGUAAGAGAGGCGACGGUACGCCGGCGCCAAGUUCGCGUCAGCAGCUUACGUAGAACGAGAGUGAACGAGGGGUGGCGGACGCGGCGUGAUACCCUCCCCGUGCACGCUAGAUUAUCCACUAGAGAUCAGAAUACUUGAUGACAAACAACGACGCAACAAACUUUACCUCCCUCUCCGCAUGCACGUCGCAAUCUUCCCGGUCUUAUCAAAAAUAUUAAACGCGCCCUUUAUAAAUAACUAACUGUUCGUAGUUGGACAGUUAGGGAUGUUCUGUCCUCUGCAUCAAUUUCAGUCCUUCUGGAUCAUCAUGGUUCCACGACGAAGAAAGAAAUUGAUUAAAAUCUUUUCAUUGUCCGCUCGUGUUGCAUCAACGAUCCGCGUCGUCAUUCUCGUCGUACGUCGUUACGUUCGUUCCGAGUGAAAUAAAAAGAAUCGUAGAACUUCGUCCGCGGUGACGCCAGAAGUUGAAGACCGAUCGAAGACCGGAGUGGAAAUAUUCUUCUGAAACAGCAGUCCCCCUUUUCUCUGAUUUCCGCGAUUCGUUCGAAACCCUCGAGCGGGAGAUCGCGCGCUCGCGGCGCGUACGUCACGCGGACGUGUCUACGUCACUGGAGAACCGAGUUAUGCGGUGGUGGGAGAUCGCAGCGAGUGGUUCUGGGUGGGGGCUCGAGGGGAAGGUAGGAGCGCGACAAGGGUAGGGGAGAUGCCUGUUCGCGGUUGCUCGCAGUGACGACGUGUUGGCUCGCUGACGGUGGGGGAUCUGGUCGCGUGUGUGCGCGUACACGUACGCCGGCGGCCGCGUCCGCGUCACUCAGACAGCCGCGCGUUGAUAGGGGACCUUAGAGCGGGGAUUGGCUGGCGGUCGACUCGCCGCUUCCAAAUAUGGGACAGUCUCCGCGGUCCAUUCAUAAAACUACGGGGCGCGCCGCCGCUCGGCUCAGUUCGUGCGCGACCCCCACGCAUCGCGCGUCCUCCGACGAUCCCGCUUUGCUCGCUCCGACACACGCACGCACGCAUACCUCGACUCGCCGGAGAGGUGCAUACCUUGACCGAAGCGCGCGAUAAACCCGUCGGAGCAGAUACAGAGAAGGAAAGAGAGAGAGAGAGGAACGGGAUACAGAAGAAGAAAGAGAAGAGAGAACCGAAGGAGAAGGAAAGGGACGGAGGAACGACAAAUAGGCGCGCGGUCGCGCGCGUCCGCACCUACGCGACGACACUCGCGCGGGAGUGAAGGAAUCGGGAUCUCGAUAUCUCGCGGACAGACGGCUGCCUCCGUUUUGAGCGUCGGAAGAACCGGGUGGCCACCACCGCGUUCUGGUAGAGAGACAGACAGAGAGUGAGAGAGAGAGAGAGAAAGA